CCCUUAGAUGUUCUGGGCCGCACGCGCGCUACACUGAACAGUUCAACAAGUCUUAACCUUGGCCGAUAGGUCUGGGUAAUCUUUGAACGCUGUUCGUGAUUGGGAUAGACCUUUGCAAUUAUGGGUCUUCAACGAGGAAUUCCUAGUAAACGCAAGUCAUCAGCUUGCAUUGAUUACGUCCCUGCCCUUUGUACACACCGCCCGUCGCACCUACCGAUUGAGUGAUCCGGUGAAUAAUUCGGACUGCAGCAGUGUUCAGUUCCUGAACGUUGCAGCGGAAAGUUUAGUGAACCUUAUCACUUAGAGGAAGGAGAAGUCGUAACA
Molecule: ribosomal RNA, 324 nt
Filed under: uncultured eukaryote
Lineage: Eukaryota
Description: partial 18S ribosomal RNA
Rfam family: Eukaryotic small subunit ribosomal RNA
Source: RNAcentral